AUUAUUAUAGUUUAAUUAAAACAUUAAAUUGCAAAUUUAAAGAUUAAUUUAAUAUUAUAAUAAUU
RNAcentral lists this transfer RNA (65 nucleotides) under Apis koschevnikovi. Its description in RNAcentral is "tRNA-Cys". Lineage: Eukaryota; Metazoa; Arthropoda; Insecta; Hymenoptera; Apidae. The record is from RNAcentral.